CUUAGAAUAAAAGGUUUUUGUUCUCCUCUUUCACUAAAAUACCAGUACUUGCUAUGCGUUUUUGCCUGCCUCUAAACAUUUUAUCAACAAAAAGAGUCACCAUGAAUGUUUUCACUGGAAUCACUUGUUUAGUUUUCCUUUUUACAAAGCUUAUUGUUGUGUCUGGUGACAUAGACAAACCUACAGGAAUGAAGCAAGGGAUUUACUGCGAAUGUUGCAGUGCUACURUCAAAGGUGAG
Molecule: long non-coding RNA, 239 nt
Organism: Actinia tenebrosa (Australian red waratah sea anemone)
Lineage: Eukaryota; Metazoa; Cnidaria; Anthozoa; Actiniaria; Actiniidae
Source: RefSeq, a predicted model, not a curated record